AAGGGUCAGCACCCACACGCACCACACACACACACACACACACACACACACAGAGGUGCCUGACUCGGACACCUCUUGCAUGGACUGGCCUUGGGCCUGAUCCAGCCAGGCCGUUCUCAUGUCCUUGCAGAUGGCAAGCAUUAGCAGGGCCCCCAGGUGCUUCCAUCACAAGCCUUCGCGCUGGAAUGACUGCUUCUCACUCCCACCUCGCCACCGUUUCACGAGAGAGCAGCUGCGCAUCGAGGAAACACUGGCUCAGUUUGGCACGCGGAGGAUUCAGCGCAGCGCUCAUUCAAGACGCCUCCCCUCCCAUUCGGGGUCUUUACCUCUUUCUUGCUUCUGGGCUGCUGACGAAGCAGAGAAAGAGGGACCUGUCUGUUGUUCUCCCUGCAGCCGGGAGUUCCACCUGGCAUCAUGGUGCCACCACAAAGAAAGCCCUGCUCCUGCAACCACCAGCCUUACAACUGCCAGUGGUGGACCAUUCACCAAAUAAGAAAAGCAACCUGGAAUGCGAAUCAGGGACAACCAAGCUCCAAGCCCUUUUGAGCUGUUUGGGGUCAGGGGUCCAUCUUAUUUAUUUAUUAUUUCUCUGUGUAAGCCACUCUGAGCCAUUUUUGGAAGGGCGGUACAGAAAUCGAAUGAAUAAAUAAUAAUAAAUAAAUAAGCUCA
Molecule: long non-coding RNA, 669 nt
Organism: Hemicordylus capensis (graceful crag lizard)
Lineage: Eukaryota; Metazoa; Chordata; Lepidosauria; Squamata; Cordylidae
Exons: 2
Source: RefSeq, a predicted model, not a curated record